This 626-nucleotide ribosomal RNA is filed under the name Kocuria sp. SCULCB HNA-19. RNAcentral's name for it is "bacterial SSU rRNA". It matches the Rfam family "Bacterial small subunit ribosomal RNA", at positions 64 to 700 of the family's 1533-position model. The record is from RNAcentral. Lineage: Bacteria; Bacillati; Actinomycetota; Actinomycetes; Micrococcales; Micrococcaceae.
GAUCGAUGAUGCCCAGCUUGCUGUGGCUGAUUAGUGGCGAACGGGUGAGUAAUACGUGAGUAACCUGCCCUUGACUCUGGGAUAAGCCUGGGAAACUGGGUCUAAUACUGGAUACUACCUUUCAUCGCAUGGUGGGGGGUGGAAAGGGUUUUACUGGUUUUGGAUGGGCUCACGGCCUAUCAGCUUGUUGGUGGGGUAAUGGCUCACCAAGGCGACGACGGGUAGCCGGCCUGAGAGGGUGACCGGCCACACUGGGACUGAGACACGGCCCAGACUCCUACGGGAGGCAGCAGUGGGGAAUAUUGCACAAUGGGCGAAAGCCUGAUGCAGCGACGCCGCGUGAGGGAUGACGGCCUUCGGGUUGUAAACCUCUUUCAGUAGGGAAGAAGCGAAAGUGACGGUACCUGCAGAAGAAGCGCCGGCUAACUACGUGCCAGCAGCCGCGGUAAUACGUAGGGCGCAAGCGUUGUCCGGAAUUAUUGGGCGUAAAGAGCUCGUAGGCGGUUUGUCGCGUCUGCUGUGAAAGCCCGGGGCUCAACCCCGGGUCUGCAGUGGGUACGGGCAGACUAGAGUGCAGUAGGGGAGACUGGAAUUCCUGGUGUAGCGGUGAAAUGCGCAGAUAUCAU